This 1321-nucleotide ribosomal RNA is filed under the name Geminocystis papuanica PAP1. Its description in RNAcentral is "bacterial SSU rRNA". The stretch from base 1 to 1003 matches the Rfam family "Bacterial small subunit ribosomal RNA", at positions 535 to 1533 of the family's 1533-position model. The record is from RNAcentral. Lineage: Bacteria; Bacillati; Cyanobacteriota; Cyanophyceae; Chroococcales; Geminocystaceae.
CAAGCGUUAUCCGGAAUCAUUGGGCGUAAAAGCGUCCGUAGGUGGCAUUUAAAGUCUGCUGUCAAAGACCGAAGCUCAAACUUCGGGUAGGCGGUGGAAACUGAAAAGCUAGAGUAUAGUAGGGGUAGAGGGAAUUCCUAGUGUAGCGGUGAAAUGCGUAGAGAUUAGGAAGAACACCAGUGGCGAAGGCGCUCUACUGGGCAUAUACUGACACUGAGGGACGAAAGCUAGGGGAGCGAAAGGGAUUAGAUACCCCUGUAGUCCUAGCGGUAAACGAUGGAUACUAGGUGUUGUCUGUAUCGACCCGGACAGUGCCGAAGCAAACGCGUUAAGUAUCCCGCCUGGGGAGUACGCACGCAAGUGUGAAACUCAAAGGAAUUGACGGGGACCCGCACAAGCGGUGGAGUAUGUGGUUUAAUUCGAUGCAACGCGAAGAACCUUACCAAGGCUUGACAUCCUGCGAAUUUUGAGGAAACUCGAAAGUGCCUUAGGGAACGCAGAGACAGGUGGUGCAUGGCUGUCGUCAGCUCGUGUCGUGAGAUGUUGGGUUAAGUCCCGCAACGAGCGCAACCCUCGUCCUUAGUUGCCAUCAUUAAGUUGGGGACUCUAGGGAGACCGCCGGGGAGAACUCGGAGGAAGGUGGGGAUGACGUCAAGUCAGCAUGCCCCUUACGUCUUGGGCUACACACGUACUACAAUGGUUGAGACAAAGGGAAGCGAAACUGCGAAGUGGAGCGAAUCCUGUCAAACUCAGCCCCAGUUCAGAUUGCAGGCUGAAACUCGCCUGCAUGAAGGAGGAAUCGCUAGUAAUCGCAGGUCAGCAUACUGCGGUGAAUCCGUUCCCGGGUCUUGUACACACCGCCCGUCACACCAUGGAAGUUGGUCAUGCCCGAAGUCGUUACCUUAACCGUUUACGGAGAGGGAUGCCGAAGGUGGGACUAGUGACUGGGGUGAAGUCGUAACAAGGUAGCCGUACCGGAAGGUGUGGCUGGAUCACCUCCUUAAAGGGAGACUUCUAGAGAAGUCAAUCAAGAGUGUAGAAAAUGGCUUUUAAACUAGAGAGAGGGUUCAUGGGCUUGGGCUAUUAGCUCAGGUGGUUAGAGCGCACCCCUGAUAAGGGUGAGGUCCCUGGUUCAAGUCCAGGAUGGCCCAUUACUCACAGGAGUAGAAAGGGGGUAUAGCUCAGUUGGUAGAGCGCCUGCUUUGCAAGCAGGAUGUCAGCGGUUCGAGUCCGCUUAUCUCCAGGAACAAUUCAGCAUCGAAAAAAGAAUGCUGGACAAUUGUUCAGUAAGAACCUUGAAAACUGCAUAAAAAAAGUAGGU